Molecule: ribosomal RNA, 501 nt
Filed under: uncultured bacterium
Lineage: Bacteria
Description: partial 16S ribosomal RNA
Rfam family: Bacterial small subunit ribosomal RNA
Source: RNAcentral
AUUGAACGCUGGCGGCAGGCUUAACACAUGCAAGUCGAGCGGGGGAAGGUAGCUUGCUACCGGACCUAGCGGCGGACGGGUGAGUAAUGCUUAGGGAUCUGCCUAUUAGUGGGGGACGACAUCUCGAAAGGGAUGCUAAUACCGCAUACGUCCUACGGGAGAAAGCAGGGGAUCUUCGGACCUUGCGCUAAUAGAUGAGCCUAAGUCGGAUUAGAUAGUUGGUGGGGUAAAGGCCUACCAAGGCGACGAUCUGUAGCGGGUCUGAGAGGAUGAUCCGCCACACUGGGACUGAGACACGGCCCAGACUCCUACGGGAGGCAGCAGUGGGGAAUAUUGGACAAUGGGGGGAACCCUGAUCCAGCCAUGCCGCGUGUGUGAAGAAGGCCUUAUGGUUGUAAAGCACUUUAAGCGAGGAGGAGGCUACUUUAGUUAAUACCUGGAGAUAGUGGACGUUACUCGCAGAAUAAGCACCGGCUAACUCUGUGCCAGCCGCCGCCGUAA